This 1067-nucleotide long non-coding RNA is filed under the name Ananas comosus (pineapple). Its description in RNAcentral is "long non-coding RNA (ACOM_LNC040683)". The record is from RNAcentral. Lineage: Eukaryota; Viridiplantae; Streptophyta; Magnoliopsida; Poales; Bromeliaceae.
UAAGUAUAUGUAUUAGGGGUAGUCGAUAUUUAAUUUUUACUCUAGGAAUAUGUGCCAGAGUAAAAAAUAGGUUCACGAUGAGAUUUGGGUAUUGGCUCAUGAGAUUUGAGUAUUGGCUUAUGAGAUUUGGUUCAUGAAUUUGGAUAUGGUUCAUGAAUUUGAUGUAUGGACUUGGUUCAUGAACUUGGAUAUGGUUCAUAGAUUUGGAGUAUGGACUUGGUUCAUGAACUUGGAUAUGGUUCAUGGAUUUGGUGUAUGGAUUUGGUUCAUGAACUUGGAUAUGGUUCAUAGAUUUGGUGUAUGGACUUGGUUCAUAAACUUGGAUAUGGUUCAUGGAUUUGGUGUACGGACUUGGUUCAUGGUUCAAGAAAUUUGGGUUUAGUUUAACGACUUUUCGGUCGUUUGGAUUUGGGUUUAGCUUAACUACUUUUCGGUCGUUUGAAAUUUGGAUUUAGUUUAACGACUUUUCGGUCAUUUGAAAUUUGGGUUUAGUUUAACGACUUUUCGCUCGUUUGAAAUUUGGGUUUAGUUUAACGACUUUUCGCUCGUUUGAAAUUUUGGUUUAGUUUAACGACUUUUCGGUCGUUUGAAAUUGAGAUGUUCAUGAAACUGAUUCAUGAAAUUAAUUCAUGCUAGGAGCCCGUUUGUAAAGUCCAUUGAAUUAAUUGAUGAAAUUAAUUCAUGAUAGGGGCUAUUUGGAGAGCCCAUUAAUUCAGUUUGGGUUGGAGGUAUUUGGAUGACAUAGUUUUGGUAGAUUUGAUUGGGUUUUAUUUAUGGACUUUGGAUUUUGGAUCUUUGGGUUUUGGAUCUUUAUUUGUGGACUUUGGAUUUUUGGGAUUUUGUUUGUGGGCAUUGGAUUUUUGUUUUUUUUUCGUUUGUGGAUUUUGGAUUUUUGGAUUUAUUUGUGGAUUUUGGGAUUUUUGGGAUUUUAUUUGUGGACUUCGGAAUUUUUGGGACUUUAUUUAUGGACUUUUGAAUUUUUGGAAUUUUAUUUGUGGGCUUUUGGAUUUUUGGGAUUUUAUUCGUAGACUUUGGGUUUUGGAUCUUUGGGUUUUGGGCUAAGAAAU